RNAcentral lists this unclassified non-coding RNA (348 nucleotides) under soil metagenome. RNAcentral describes it as "partial contains 5.8S ribosomal RNA, internal transcribed spacer 2, and large subunit ribosomal RNA". The stretch from base 1 to 120 matches the Rfam family "5.8S ribosomal RNA", at positions 35 to 154 of the family's 154-position model. The record is from RNAcentral.
GAUGAAGAACGCAGCGAAAUGCGAUAAGUAAUGUGAAUUGCAGAAUUCAGUGAAUCAUCGAAUCUUUGAACGCACAUUGCGCCCGCCAGUAUUCUGGCGGGCAUGCCUGUCUGAGCGUCAUUUCAACCCUCAUGCCCCUAGGGCGUGGUGUUGGGGAUCGGCCAAAGCCCGCGAGGGACGGCCGGCCCCUAAAUCUAGUGGCGGACCCGUCGUGGCCUCCUCUGCGAAGUAGUGAUAUUCCGCAUCGGAGAGCGAUGAGCCCCUGCCGUUAAACCCCCAACUUUCCAAGGCUGACCUCAGAUCAGGUAGGAAUACCCGCUGAACUUAAGCAUAUCAAUAAGCGGAGGA